UACAGAGGGGGCAAGCGUUGUUCGGAAUUACUGGGCGUAAAGGGCGCGUAGGCGGCCUUCUAAGUCGAACGUGAAAUCCCCGGGCUCAACCGGGGAACUGCGUCCGAUACUGGUGGGCUUGAAUCCGGGAGAGGGAUGCGGAAUUCCAGGUGUAGCGGUGGAAAUGCGGUAGAUAUCUGGAGGAACACCGGUGGCGAAGGCGGCAUCCUGGACCGGCAUUGACGCCUGAGGCGCGAAAGCCAGGGGGAGCAA
Molecule: ribosomal RNA, 252 nt
Filed under: uncultured bacterium
Lineage: Bacteria
Description: partial 16S ribosomal RNA
Rfam family: Bacterial small subunit ribosomal RNA
Source: RNAcentral